AGCACGGCCGUACCACCUCAGAUGCCUUUUGGAAUCUGAGGCUGUUGACAAGCCAUUGUGUUGCUUCUGCCACAAGCCGGCUGUUAUAAGGUGCAGAGAGUGCCUUCCGGAGCAGUGGUUUUGUGGGGCCUGCGACAUGCAUAACCACAGCAAACGGCCACUCCACAACAGGGACAGCGUAGUGGAUGGCUUCUUUAAAGCCAUUCCCCCAUCCACAUGUAUCUCAAGAGGAGAGACUGGAAUAUAUGCCACACAUGAGCAAGAUCGCAUUUUACCCACAAUGCCAGCACAGCACUGCACCUGCCAGGUCCCUAGCUUCACAGUGGAAGCUGGGAAACCAGUCAUCUUGAUUACCAUCAAUGGUAGA
This is a long non-coding RNA of Gadus chalcogrammus (walleye pollock), 367 nucleotides long. RefSeq lists it as uncharacterized. The transcript is spliced from 3 exons. NCBI's taxonomy places the organism in Eukaryota, Metazoa, Chordata, Actinopteri, Gadiformes, Gadidae. The record is from RefSeq and is a predicted model, not a curated record.